AAUCAGACCGAUCCUCAACGACAACAGGAUGCAAAAUUUUAACUAAACUGAUCCCUCAAUUAUUCCAAUACCAAGCCGAUGCACCCCAUUACUUUGUUGUACAUUUAUCCAGCAUGGUUGCUUAAUUGAACUAACUUAUGACCCCACGUUUUCAUCACCUUGGAUAAGAAACGAAUCCAAUGACAUCAUGAAUGGAUCCCAAGCAAAUAGGCCCAUCACCACCAC
RNAcentral lists this long non-coding RNA (225 nucleotides) under Elaeis guineensis (African oil palm). RNAcentral's name for it is "long non-coding RNA (EGUI_LNC017502)". The record is from RNAcentral. Lineage: Eukaryota; Viridiplantae; Streptophyta; Magnoliopsida; Arecales; Arecaceae.